GGGAAAGUUCUGACGGAGGCGGGGUUUACCACCUGCGCUGUUCCCUUUAACUCCCACUGCAACGUGGGCUGUUGCCACAACCGCUGGUCCUGUGACGGGAGCCGCUUCGGCAGCAGCAAGUCGUCCACCUACGUGCCUGUCCAGAAGAGCCUGUCUGAAGUCAACAUAGUGAGUGCUGCUGAGAAGGACUUGAUCCACGACUACAGGCCCGUUGAGAAACCUAGAAGUCCUAGAAGCCCUGAGAGAGAGAGUCAUAUACAACCUGGAAACAAAGACCUAGCAGUUUCACACAUCUGUCUUGACCUUACCUUAGAGUUACCCCCUCCAGGCUCCAACCCUCCAGGCUCCAACCCUCCAGGCUCCAACCCUCCAGGCUCCAACCCUCCAGACUCCAACCCUCCAGGCUCCAACCCUCCAGACUCCAACCCUCCAGGCUCCAACCCUCCAGGCUCCAACCCUCCAGGCUCCAACCCUCCAGACUCCAACCCUCCAGGCUCCAACCCUCCAGGCCACAGUAGGAAUAUGAUGCUGGAACAGGCCACUGCUGAGUUUAACAGGACACUCUUCCAAGCUGAGAUGGGUCGAGGGAUGGAGGACGAUGAUGUAGAGGACAGUUUUACAUCAGCGGGUGUCUCUAAAAGGGGCGUACCAGACGGUACGACGGUAUGUGGUGAGGUCACACACGGGGUCACCAGGGAGACGAACAUUGACCUCCCGCCACGGCACGCCACAGAGGUCAGACAGAAGGAGGUGAUCUGUGACAUCACAGCUCAGAAGCUGAGUUCAGGGAUCAAACUGAGCCAGGCCCUGCCCCCAUCUGACCCUCAUCCAGGGGUCACCGUCAGGACCUUUGACCCCCCUGCCACCUCUGACCUUUCACCCCAACGCCCAGAAGUUGCGUUUAGGAACAUGCCUUCUAACCCGGCAACACGCUGCCCUGAGGUCAAACACAAAGCUGGACCCCCAACAGCCUGUUUAAGUCCACACUGCACAGGUCCAUCUCUAGUGAAUACAAGCAGCCUGCCCAGACUCACACACGGCUCCAGGACCAGAGGUGAGUGCCAGUCCGAAGAGGGACAUCAAGGCCCAAGGAGCGAGGCCUCAUUCCGUUAAGUCAUGCCCAGCGCCCCAGCGACCUGGGAGUCGCCCAACCACAACACAGGACAUCCUUAAAGCUGGAUCUGUGGGGUCAGGACUCUGUGUGCCUGGGGGGUCGGGACUCCGUGUGCCUGGGGGGUCAGGACUCCGUGGUGUAAUGAGCGACCAGCCCUGGAAGCCCCUGACUCUGGCUGCGUUACGUCCAUCUGACUCCAGGUCUAAUUACGGCGCUGUGGAGAGGAUCCUGAAGAGCUACGAGAACACUGCCUGGAGCCAGCGGUACCAGAACCAUACCCAACCCACUGAGUCCAGCCCUAACCCUGGACCCAGCCUCAGCCCUAACCCUGGUCUCAGCCCCAGCCCUAACCCUGGUCUCAACCCCAGUCCUAACCCUGGUCUCAACCCCAGUCCUAACCCUGGUCUCAACCCCAGUCCUAACCCUGGUCUCAGCCCCCGUCCUAACCCUGGUCUCAGCCCCCGUCCUAACCCUGGUCUCAGCCCCCGUCCUAACCCUGGUCUCAGCCCCAGUCCUAACCCUGGUCUCAGCCCCAGUCCUAACCCUGGUCUCAGCCCCAGCCCUAACCCUGGUCUCAACCCCGUCUCAGCCCCAGCCCUAACCCUGGUCUCAACCCCGUCUCAGCCCCAGUCCUAACCCUGGUCUCAGCCCCAGUCCUAACCCUGGUCUCAGCCCCAGCCCUAACCCUGGUCUCAGCCCCAGCCCUAACCCUGGUCUCAGCCCCCGUCUCAGCCCCAGCCCUAACCCUGGUCCCAGCCCCAGACAGGAAGAGGAACUCAUGGAUCUUCUGGAGGAGAUGAUGGAUAAGGAUUACUGGGAUCAGUCAGGCCCUGCCUCUGGACACUCCUCCCACACACACUCUCACCACAGCCAGCUGACCAGCUCCCACAGAGAGACAAGGCUAACCAUGCAGUUGGAAGCGAAAGGAGUGUAAAGUAUCAUCCAGCUCCUCAUCAGUCCAGAAGAAUUUCUCUCGUCCGGCCUGUCCAGCCAACCGCCGCCCCCCGUCACGCUGGGCUAGUUGUUCCCCCUCCACCUCUUCCUCCUCCUCCUCCUCCUCCUCCACCCCUAUAAACCAGCCCUCUUCCGGCUCCGCCCACAAACACACCUCAUUCUCCUACUCAGCCUAUCACACGGAGACAGUCAUCAUCUGACCCCUUAGCUGACCCUGUGUUUCAACCAAUAAGAUGCCUUUCGUUACUAUACGUACUCUGACAUUUCUUUUCUCAAUUCAUCCUUCCUUGAUUCCUUCACAUCGAAGGACCGAGUCGGGGGGUGGGGACGGGG
This is a long non-coding RNA of Oncorhynchus tshawytscha (Chinook salmon), 2401 nucleotides long. The record is from Ensembl. NCBI's taxonomy places the organism in Eukaryota, Metazoa, Chordata, Actinopteri, Salmoniformes, Salmonidae.